Long non-coding RNA from Esox lucius (northern pike), 589 nucleotides. The record is from Ensembl. Lineage: Eukaryota; Metazoa; Chordata; Actinopteri; Esociformes; Esocidae.
CAGGGUUAUGGUCAAGGUUAUGGUUAUGGUCAGAGUUAUAGUCAGGGUUAUGGUCAGAGUUGUGGUCAGGGUUAUGGUCAGAGUUAUGGUCAGGGUAAUGGUCAGAGUUAUGGUCAGAGUUAUGGUCAGGGUAAUGGUCAGAGUUAUGGUCAGAAUUAUGGUCAGGGUUAUGGUCAUGGUUAUGGUCAGGGUUAUGGUCAUGGUUAUGGUCAGGGUUAUGGUCAAGAUUAUGUUCAUAGUUAUGGUCAGAGUUAUGGUCAGGGUUAUGGUCAGGGUUAUGGUCAAGGUUAUGGUCAGGGUUAUGGUCAGAGUUAUGGUCAGGGUUAUGGUCAGAGUUAUGGUCAGGGUUAUGGUCAGGGUCAGGGUUAUGGUCAGAGUUAUGGUCAGAGUUAUGGUCAGGGUUAUGGUCAGGGUUAUGGUCAGGGUUACAGCUAGCGGGAUGUCCUCUCCAUGAUGAUGCAAAACUGCCAUCUGUUUGAAUGUGUAACACCAAACCAACGUAGGCAAACCAAGUUAUUCCCGAUCUCAGACAUGUUAUAACAGACAUGUUAUAACAGAUGUUGUCAUGGAUGUAAAUGCUUUUAUGUGU